AUUGAACGCUGGCGGCUGGCUUUACACAUGCAAGUCGAGCGAGCGGCGGACGGGUGGGUAAUGUCUUGGAAACUGCCUGAUGUAGGGGGAUCACUACUGGCAACGGUAGCUACUACCGCAUACCAUCAGAUGUGCCCAGAUGGGAUUAGCUAGUAGGUGGGGUAAUGGCUCACCUAGGCGACGAUCCCUAGCUGGUCUGAGAGGAUGACCAGCCACACUGUAACUGAGACACGGCCCAGAUUCCAACGGGAGGGAGAAGUGGGGAAUAUUGCGCAAGGGGUGCAUCGCUGGCGCAGCCUUGCCGCAUGAGUCAGGGAGGUCUUCGGGUUGUAAAGUUCUUUCGGUAGAGCGGCGUUACCUACAGAAGAAUCACCGGCUAACUCCGUGCCAGCAGCCGCGGUAAUAC
Molecule: ribosomal RNA, 406 nt
Filed under: uncultured bacterium
Lineage: Bacteria
Description: partial 16S ribosomal RNA
Rfam family: Bacterial small subunit ribosomal RNA
Source: RNAcentral